AUACAUACCAUUAGUUUAACAUUAUAAUCAAAUAACGGAAAGUAUUUUCAUAGAAAAUAUUCUUUUAGAAAACUUUUUCCAUGGAAAUCAUUUUUUUAUAUACAAUUUAUUUUUCGCAAAACAAAUGGAGUCCUAAAUUAAAUUUAUUUGGACACUUCAUCUGUUCACUUAUGAAGUUUCUGCUUACUAUUUUGUUGAAUAAAGUCAAGGACCUUGAGAGAAGGAGAAGGCUUGCAGCUUACCUUUGAAAUAAAAUGGUCUUAGCUAUGUCAUCGCCUAACAGAUCAUGUCUCUCAUCUCAUAUGCUCGACAAUGUUAUCCUCUUUGUAUGUUAUUCAUGUUUCUCAUCUCAUAUACUAGUGCUGCUGUUAAUGAGAGUAAUAUAGGAAAGGAUGCUUUAUAUUAAAUGUCUUGAGAGCCUGUAGAUCUAGGCUGAAGUGCACAUCGCAGGAUGUUCGGUUCAUUUUAUCGUGAGGUCAUUUGUGUCUAAGAACAGCAUGUUCGGUUCAUUUUGAAAAUGGAAGCUGCUGAAUUCUUAGUUGUCUCUCAUCUCUAGAGAAGCAGUUGCAAUGCGUUGAUAUUUCAUUUUGGUGUCGUU
This 598-nucleotide unclassified non-coding RNA is filed under the name Hevea brasiliensis (rubber tree). Lineage: Eukaryota; Viridiplantae; Streptophyta; Magnoliopsida; Malpighiales; Euphorbiaceae. The record is from RNAcentral.